AUACAGAGGGUGCGAGCGUUAAUCGGAAUUACUGGGCGUAAAGCGCGCGUAGGCGGCUGAUUAAGUCAGAUGUGAAAUCCCCGGGCUCAACCUGGGAACUGCAUCUGAUACUGGGUAGCUAGAGUUUAGGAGAGGGAAGUAGAAUUUCAGGUGUAGCGGUGAAAUGCAUAGAGAUCUGAAGGAAUACCAGUGGCGAAGGCGGCUUCCUGGCCUAAAACUGACGCUGAGGUGCGAAAGCGUGGGUAGCAGACGGGAUUAGAAACCCCGGUAGUCC
RNAcentral lists this ribosomal RNA (274 nucleotides) under uncultured bacterium. RNAcentral's name for it is "partial 16S ribosomal RNA". It matches the Rfam family "Bacterial small subunit ribosomal RNA", at positions 523 to 796 of the family's 1533-position model. The record is from RNAcentral.